CACUAUGCUUAGCCCUAAACAUAAAUAGUUCUACAACAAAACAAUUCGCCAGAGAACUACUAGCAACAGCUUAAAACUCAAAGGACUUGGCGGUGCUUUAUAUCCCUCUAGAGGAGCCUGUUCUAUAAUCGAUAAACCCCGAUAAACCUCACCAUCUCUUGCUAAUACAGUCUAUAUACCGCCAUCUUCAGCAAACCCUUAAAAGGCAGAGCAGUAAGCAAGAUCAUCACGCAUAAAAAAGUUAGGUCAAGGUGUAACUAAUGAGAUGGGAAGAAAUGGGCUACAUUUUCUGUUUUAAGAACACUUUACGAAAGUUUUUAUGAAACUAAGAACUGAAGGAGGAUUUAGUAGUAAAUUAAGAAUAGAGAGCUUAAUUGAAUAGGGCCAUGAAGCACGC
This 397-nucleotide ribosomal RNA is filed under the name Vulpes lagopus (Arctic fox). RNAcentral's name for it is "partial small subunit ribosomal RNA". It matches the Rfam family "Bacterial small subunit ribosomal RNA", at positions 788 to 1384 of the family's 1533-position model. Lineage: Eukaryota; Metazoa; Chordata; Mammalia; Carnivora; Canidae. The record is from RNAcentral.